RNAcentral lists this ribosomal RNA (321 nucleotides) under Triticum aestivum (bread wheat). RNAcentral's name for it is "partial small subunit ribosomal RNA". Lineage: Eukaryota; Viridiplantae; Streptophyta; Magnoliopsida; Poales; Poaceae. The record is from RNAcentral.
AUGUCUUGGAGAUGCCCACAGGAGAAAGAGGGGCAAACUGCUUGCCCCAGAGUAUCUUCCGCUCCAGUCUUUGUUAGAAAAACUGAAACUGUGGAGGAGAUUGCUAAUGCUUGGAGUAUAACAGAACGUGGAAAUGCAACGGAGUUCGUCAUGAGAGCUUUACAGAUGCAGGAUCAGGCACAGAAGCUGGUACUAGAGUUAAGAAGAAGGCUAAUAUGGUCUCAGAUUAAUAUACGAAUUUUCUGGUGCAUAUGGAUUGAUGGAGACACAAGAGGAAGAAUAGUCAAGCCUGGUGUGCCACCUGAUUGCUGGUUUUCUUAG